RNAcentral lists this long non-coding RNA (465 nucleotides) under Gallus gallus (chicken). Lineage: Eukaryota; Metazoa; Chordata; Aves; Galliformes; Phasianidae. The record is from RNAcentral.
CCUCCCAUUAUCAUCACCAUCUCAUCAGUCAGCUUAAUGUCGGGCUCCCAGCCCAGAUUACCACCAGGUGAGCUCUCAAACAUGAAUCCAAAAUCAAUGUGAAUGAUGUGUCCCUUUUUGUCCAGCAUGAUGUUGCCAUUAUGCCUGUCUUUAAUUUGGAGCAGAAAAAGGAGAAGACUAUAUGCAGCCAUACUGCGGAUGAAAUUAUAGCGAGCCUUCUGGAAUGCAAGAGUAGACUCAUCACCGUAUUGCCUUGUAAAGUAAUCGUACAUCCCAAAGUCUGUCUGCCUGCCCAGCUGGUCACGGGACGUACAGUCAGGAAUGCAUUCAAUAACACCACACCCAGGAGCUGUCGCCACCACUCUAUAUGGAAACACAAAAAGGUCCAAGCCUACCAGCUGAAAUAUGUUCUUGAAGAGAUCAAUGAUUUGUAAAGCUAACAUGUCCUGUCUGCAGUCAUCACCC